GCCUGGGUGGCUCAGUCGGUUAAGCAUCCGACUGCAGCUCAGGUCAUGAGCUUGUGGCUUGUGGGUUUGAGACCCACAUCAGGCU
RNAcentral lists this transfer RNA (85 nucleotides) under Felis catus (domestic cat). It matches the Rfam family "tRNA". Rfam says of the family: Transfer RNA (tRNA) molecules are approximately 80 nucleotides in length. Their secondary structure includes four short double-helical elements and three loops (D, anti-codon, and T loops). Further hydrogen bonds mediate the characteristic L-shaped molecular structure. tRNAs have two regions of fundamental functional importance: the anti-codon, which is responsible for specific mRNA codon recognition, and the 3' end, to which the tRNAs corresponding amino acid is attached (by aminoacyl-tRNA synthetases). tRNAs cope with the degeneracy of the genetic code in two manners: having more than one tRNA (with a specific anti-codon) for a particular amino acid; and 'wobble' base-pairing, i.e. permitting non-standard base-pairing at the 3rd anti-codon position. The record is from Rfam by way of RNAcentral. RNAcentral also lists the same sequence under 3 other names. Lineage: Eukaryota; Metazoa; Chordata; Mammalia; Carnivora; Felidae.